CUGAACCAGCCAAGUAGCGUGAAGGAUGACUGCCCUAUGGGUUGUAAACUUCUUUUAUACGGGAAUAAAGUGAGCCACGUGUGGCUUUUUGUAUGUACCGUAUGAAUAAGGAUCGGCUAACUCCGUGCCAGCAGCCGCGGUAAUACGGAGGAUCCGAGCGUUAUCCGGAUUUAUUGGGUUUAAUGGGAGCGUGGGCGGGUUGUUAAGUCAGUUGUGAAAGUUUGCGG
RNAcentral lists this ribosomal RNA (227 nucleotides) under uncultured Bacteroides sp. RNAcentral describes it as "partial 16S ribosomal RNA". It matches the Rfam family "Bacterial small subunit ribosomal RNA", at positions 383 to 607 of the family's 1533-position model. The record is from RNAcentral. Lineage: Bacteria; Pseudomonadati; Bacteroidota; Bacteroidia; Bacteroidales; Bacteroidaceae.